This is a long non-coding RNA of Gopherus evgoodei (Goodes thornscrub tortoise), 91 nucleotides long. RefSeq lists it as uncharacterized. The record is from RefSeq and is a predicted model, not a curated record. The transcript is spliced from 3 exons. Lineage: Eukaryota; Metazoa; Chordata; Testudines; Testudinidae.
GGCAAUUAGAAAUGAAAAAUACAAGGCAGAAUCCAAGCUUAUGGCACUGCAGAUUCAAACUGUGCAGGACCCUAACAAAAGGAGGGGGCAA